Molecule: transfer RNA, 76 nt
Filed under: Runella slithyformis DSM 19594
Lineage: Bacteria; Pseudomonadati; Bacteroidota; Cytophagia; Cytophagales; Spirosomataceae
Description: tRNA-Thr (CGT) (tRNA-Thr-CGT-1-1)
Rfam family: tRNA
About the family: Transfer RNA (tRNA) molecules are approximately 80 nucleotides in length. Their secondary structure includes four short double-helical elements and three loops (D, anti-codon, and T loops).
Source: RNAcentral
GCCUCCAUAGCUCAGUUGGUAGAGCGGCGCAUUCGUAAUGCGUAGGUCGCAGGUUCAAGUCCUGUUGGAGGCUCCA